CAUGGGUCGGCUCUUUAGCGCCGCCCUAGUGGCUCUGUGGAGCUUUUUCAAAAAUGUAUGAAAAAUGGAAAAAGAUGAGGGGAAAAAAAUAUAUUUUUUGUUUUAAUAUGGUUUCUGUAGGAGGACAAACAUGACACAAACCUCCCUAAUUGUUAUAAAUCACACUGUUUAUAUUAAACAGGCUUCACUGAUUCGAGUAUUUGGCGAGCGCCGUUUUGUCCUACUAAUUUUGGCGGUCCUUGAACUCACCGUAGUUUGUUUAAAUGUAUAACUUUCUCCGACUUUCUAGGACGUGUUUAACUUUUAUGCCACUUCUUUUUCCGUCUCAUUUUGUCCACCAGACUUUUAACGUUGGGCAUGGAUGCACAAAGGUCCGCAUGGAGCCGGAGGGGGCGUGGCCUCCAGCUCCGGCUGAAAAUCGGGAGAUUUUCGGGAGAAUAUUUGUCCCGGGAGGUUUUCGGGAGAGGCGCUGAAUUUCGGGAUUCUCCCGGAAAAUUCGGGAGGGUUGGCAAGUAUGAUCUAGUCCAAGGAUCGUUCUUGGAAGAUUCCAGCCAGGGACCCCACCACCUGUUCUGUCUGGCCGGGACGUUACACGGCUCCACCAAGAGGUGAUGGAGGACCAAAUGGACAUGGCGGAGUACAGGAGGCAGGAAGAGAGACUGCAAGGAGACAGAAGAAGGCUGCAAGAACGGCUGAAAAGGGUCAAAACCGAAAUUAGAAUACUUGACUUAAAAUUGGAUCUGCUGCACACCCAACAUGAGCUCGCACAACUGAGAAAAAGGUAUGACUACUUGAGUGGGCUGAUAAACUUUCAUUUGUAACUUGUAUCUUACCUUAACUGAAAUUAAAACUAUUUCUGUUUGGAGAGUGAAUCGCAGCGCAGGGAGCGGCGGAGUGAGCAGCGGAGAUGAAACACAAGUGUCAGUUAAGUUGGGAGAGCUCUUGGUUGGUCUGCAGCUGACCCACGUUCCGUACAUUUCAAGUCAAGCUUUGCAGCAGAUGCUGAGCGGGAGAGGAAAGGACAGAGAGCCUGAAAGAUGAGCCGAAAAACAGAAAAAUAAAAGAAGUCUACUCUGCUCAAGUAUGAUUUUGAUUGAUUGAGACUUUAGUAGAUUGCACAGUACAGUACAUAUUUCAUCCAUCAGUGGUCAAUUGACCACUAAAUGGUAA
Long non-coding RNA from Entelurus aequoreus (snake pipefish), 1170 nucleotides. RefSeq lists it as uncharacterized. The transcript is spliced from 5 exons. NCBI's taxonomy places the organism in Eukaryota, Metazoa, Chordata, Actinopteri, Syngnathiformes, Syngnathidae. The record is from RefSeq and is a predicted model, not a curated record.